AAUAAAAUAAUAAUAAUAAUAAUAAUAAUAAUAAUACAGAAGUUUGGAACAGUAGAAGUAAAAUCUGAACGGAGGUCAUCUCAAAGUCAUUCACUUUUCAAGGACAGAGUCGGGGAUCUGUUCCAACUAGCUUCCGAUGGAACAAUUUAAUCACCUAGACCAGUUAGCCCUUAAAAACAAAGUAAGCCACGCAGACAGUUAAUGCUGGGCUUGGUCGGGCUUCAAAAGCUGGCUGCUCCGGGAAGCGACCCGUCUGAGGCACAUGGAGGGCUCGGCACCUGCAUGAACAGACCCGGCAGCCCUCGGCGGCGCGGCAGGGCAAGCACUGUUUCGGAGAGUGGUGACUCAGCGCUGAGUCAGACAAGCACUACGUGCGGCUGCCAGCACCGGCUCCGCGGCUGCCGGGAUUGGUGACGUCCAGGAUCCACAGCCCGGGAAGGGGCCCACGUGACCCCCGUUUCCAGGGCUUAGACUGACGCUUUCAUCCGCUGUGUUUCCUCAGAUCUGAGAUUCCACUUGCUCUGGCGGGGUUGUUUGUUUGUUUGUUUGUUUUGGUUUGGUGGGUUUUGUUUUGUUUUAGUAUGAGCUUAGAUUUUUAAUAACCGGACACCCAUUUUCCUGGCAGGGGAGUGACAUGGUGAUAUUUUUUUAAUAGUUGCCAAUCUUUUAAAUGAGGCAUCAGAAGAAUGAGAUAGUAAAACAAAAGCAUGUGUUGCAAAUGAUGCGUCAAAUCAUCCCAUGACUUUGAGGCUGAAUUAAUGUGGCCGCGGUGGAAGCCCUGAACAUUGGGUAACCAUGGAAAGUCUUUAGGAUCUGAUUUGCUGUGUUAAAGGAAGCAAAUCUUUGUUCUUUGUUCAACCACUCUCUAAUAAAGGAUUCCAAAAGCUGGAGACAUAUUUGUUACAGAGAGCCCUGGCAGUGCACUUGGGUAUUUGGCCUUCUAGCAUCCUGUUAGGAUUGUGCCAAGCGUGGUGGUGAUGGUUUUGGCGAUGCUGUGUCGAAAGCCAACAGUGGGUUUUGCAAGGUUCAGUGCAUCUGGUCAAUAAGAAAAGCCAGUGACAGGGCAAGUAAUAACUACUUAGGGACACCUUUGAGCUGAUUUUUAAGACAAUCACACUAGGUCUUUAGAACCCGUGCCAACUGUUGCCAAUUGUUCUGCAGAUUCGGGAAAAAUCUAUCUAUCCUUGUGGAUCUCCGUGUGCGUGUGAGACCAUGCACAACUGUGGAGGCGCCUUCUGUUCAGAAUGUUUUCUUGCAAGGAAGAACUUCGAGGUUUCAUUGGCUCUCCAAGCUUAUGUAUAGGUCUCAGAACCUUCAUGGUGCUUGCUUCCCCUUCUGGACUUUUGUUUAAGUAACUGAAUGACAUGUGGUGUUAAUCCUCUCCUCUCUGUGUGCUCAAACACAACUCCAUCUCAAUGUACAGGUAAAGUCCUAUCUUCUCUGGGAGGCCAAACCUAAUGGAUCUCACUCCAUAUAGGACUAAUAAAAUAUAUACACUGUCUAUGUCCCAGCUUCUUCCUUUUUAAACAAUUUAUUCUUGUUAUUAUUAUUUGCAGUAUUGGAGAGUUAACACACAUGUGCUGGUAGGCAAGCAGUAUGCCACUCCUAGGCUCUGUUUAAUCCCUUUUGGUCCUUGAGCGAGCAGCCUUUGUAGGCAGUUUGUUGGAAAAAGUAGUAGGAUGUAAUCUACACCCUCCCCUGUUAACAAAAUCAACAAGGAAUAAAUGAGAGUUCCUAACAUCUGUAUCCAGGAAACAAUAAACAUGGCUCCUGCCCCACGUUUAAAUUAUUAUUUGAAUUUUCCUUGGAGAAGGAGAAAGAAAUAGCCCAUGAAACAUAUGUAAGAGCAACCUAGACUCCUCCCUUUCAGAAUUUCUUUUCUACUUUAGGAAACAAAGUCAAGAAAGGAAUUCCAGGGCACAGUAGGACUAUCUUUGACUGUUGAAGAACAUCCUUGCUGGGUGCCUUGUUGGAUCAAAUAGGCCAUGAACCACUAAUAUAAUGAAUGACCCUGGAGGCCUGAGUGAGAAAGAAACCAUCAAAGGGAGAGAGGGUGUCACCAAAGGAUGACGGUGGAGACAACCUAAUCAUUGGUCCCUAACCAAGAUAUUCCUAGAUCGCCUCUGGGAUUUUCCACAGCCAGACCAGAGUCUACAGCUGGUAUUCAUCUUGGUAGAGAAGCACUUGUUUUCAGUAUCCUUCGCAAUUUCCUGGAUGCUGAAGAAAGUUGAGUAAUAUAAAACAAAUCUUUCCCAUGUCUUCAAAUGUCCAAGUUGUCUCAGUGUUGAAGAUGGUCAUCUAUGACUGCACAUUUAUUCCACAGGUAUACACAAUUCCAUGAUUCUGAAUCCAGGGUGACUCACUCAAUCUGCAUUUCCAAAUGAGUACUGAAGAACUCUGGAAAUUUUGGAUAGGCUAUCAGUACGUGCCACAGGGUAUUUGUUCCUGACAUGAACAGUGUGCCUACUGGAAUAGUUGCUAAAUGUCACUCUGCACAUGACUUUUCUUCUUAGCAAGGUACUUAGCUAGGAGAGAUCUGUGUGAAUUAGGGCAGCCCUAAUUUACUGCCAUCUGGCCAGGUACAUUCAUGCUUACUCAUGGAGCCAAGACAGGCUUGCCUCUAGCUAAAUGUUUCCCUGGGGAAAAUGUACCUUCUAAUGGAAUAGGAAGAAAACUUUCAAGAUCUAGAAAUGAAAAUUCAAGAGAUGAAAAUGAAUCUAACAAUAAUCUUGAAAGAAUUUAGAAGACCCACUGUUAGUAUGUUGCUACAGGUUGCAUUGAUAUGGGAAUGGCUCUACUUGAACAAUAAACCAUUCACUGCAUGACUAAAGCCAGGGCUGGUUAAUGAUACUUACAUAGCUGAUGGACUUUGUGCCUCCAAUGAGAUCCUCACCUUUCUACAAUAUCUCUUGAGGCAGACUCACACAAUAUCAUCCAUUAUCACCCAGUUUAGAUGAAGUAACUGUAUCAAAAGAUUACAUGAUUUAUUGAGCCACCCAGAAACAAGGCCAACUUUAAUGCCUCUGUCACCAAACACAAUAAGACCACGAGGGAUAACAAUCAGAUUUUAUUACCCAGGGGCUGGCACGCCUACAGGCUUUGAGUUUUAAUGGCAUGAGGAUGGAAAUAGGUUUACACAGCCUUUUUUUUUUUUUUUUUUUUUGGUUUUUUGAAACAGGGUUUCUCUAUGUAGCUUUGGAGCCUAUCCUGGCACUCGCUCUGGAGACCAGGCUGGCCUCGAACUCACAGAGAUCUGCCUGCCUCUGCCUCCUGAGUGCUGGGAUUAAAGGCGUGCACCACCAAUGCCCGGAAACACAGCCAUUUUUUUAUAAGUCUCUCUAUGUAGCCCUGCUUAGACUGAACUGCCUGCCUCUUCCACCCAAGUGCCACUAUGCCCAGUCUGCCCCGCCACUCCUGAAUAAGAGUCAAGAGAUACUUGGGCCAGAAGUUUUUGUGAAUCACUUGGACCAGAAGGAAGCCAUAGAGAAUUUGCUGUUGAUAGGGACUGCUACCACAGUAAACAGUUGCUUACUGUGACAGGGAUGUCUCCAACCUAGAUAGUGGCACAUACCAGUAAAUCCUAGCACUUUGGAAGUUGAGACAAAAUGAUAGUAAAUUUGAGGGUAGCCUGAACUACAUAGCAACACUGUCUCAAUCCUCCUCCCCCAAAUUAACUAAUUAAAGUUAAAAAAGAAAAUGGAUGUUCUAUAAUAAACUUACUUCAUGAUCAGUUCUUCUACAGGAGCCCUGCCCAGGAGAUGUGCUUCAAGCAGAGCUCUUCAGUGAGUGGUAGGGUGCUCAAGCAUGCUGUGCCUCCAAGUGCAUCUGCAAAGAAGAAGCCUCCACCUUUGUGAACCUUUGGGCUGCUCACCAUCCUUCCACCAAAGUGAGGGAUGAUGUCUGGGGAACCUGCUUUCUUCAUUUGAGAUGUAAAUUUCUAUUUUGGAUCAUGAGAAACUUUGCUUUGGACUUUCCUCAAAUUCAGAGAUACAUAACCCUUUCCAAGCACACAUUCUCAACAAUAAACAAAUGAGUGACAUAAAAUCAAAAUAUAGGCAGGGACAGUGACUCAUAGCUGUAAUUUCAUCACUCAGGAGGCAAAUACAGAAGGUUUGCCUGAAUUUGAAGGCAGCUUGGGCUACAGUAUGAUACCUUGUUCCCAAAACCUAAUAUGUUGCAUAAAUAUUUUCCUAAUUAGCUUUAGUUUGACACAGCCCUAGAGUCACCUGAGAAAGGAGUCUUGACUGAGGGAUUGCCCAGCUCCUAUUACUCCAUGGAUGUAUCUGGAGGGAACUGAUUGUUUUCAUUGUUAAUUGAUGUGGAAGGGCCCAGCCAGUUGUGGUGGCACCAUUCUAUAAGCAAGUAGUCCUGGACUGAAAAAGAACAUCAGCUAAGCAUGAGUCUGCAAGCCAGCUACCAAGUACUACUUCUCUAUGGUUGCUGCCUCGAGUUCCUGCUCUGACUUCCCUCUGUGAUGAACUGUCACCUGUAAGGUGGAAUAAACUUGCUCUCCUCUGAGUUCUAUUUGGUCAAAGAGUUUUAUCAUAUCAACAAAAUGAAACCAGAACACACACACACACACACACACACACACACACACACACACACAGAGAGAGAGAGAGAGAGAGAGAGAGAGAGAGAGAGAGAGAGAGGUUCACGUUAAAUAACAACACUGACAAUCCUCUGUCCAAACAUUCCUUAGCCUUUAAAUACAGUAAUAGGAGUUGUAUGUGACAUACAUACAUACAUACAUACAUACAUACAUACAUACACACAUACAUACAGGUAAUUAUACCAAUCAAAAAUUCAAACAGUCCGGCUGGAGAGAUGGUUCAGUAGUUAAGAGCACCGGCUGCUCUUCCAGAGGUCCUGAGUUCAAUUCCCAGCAACCACAUGUGGCUCAUAACCAUCCAUAGUGAGAUCUGGUGCCCUCUUCUGGCCUGCAGGCAUACAUACAGACAUAACAUUGUACAUAAUAAAUAAAUAAAUCUUUAAAAAUUUCAGACAGUCAAAAUUCACACAUACAAUGGUAAGAAUAACUUAUUAUUUAAUAAUGAUAAUAAUUAUGAUGAUCGUGUUGGUGUUGAUGAUGAUAAAUAGUAUUUACUAAAUGCUCAAUGGUUGUAUCUCAUUUAAUCAUGGCAAAAAUAGCCACAGCACUACCGUUCUUAGUUUACAGAAGUAGAGCCUCAGGCUAAGGAAGUUGCCUGAAGUCAUCUAGCUGUUAUGUGGAUGAGCCAUGAUUUAAGUCUAGGUCUGUAUGCCUGUCAGGCCUGCCAUACUAUGAAAAGCACAGACAAGACACUCAUUCAGUCAUGCAUGUGUCUAUGCAUAUCACAGUGAACAAAAAAUUCCCACAUAAAGACAUGAAGGGCUGUGGCUUGCUGUCAUUGAUUUGACAUAACCCAGCUCAAGAGCCCAACAUCCACUGCCAGUAAAGAGCUGUGUUUUAUUCAGAUCUCAUUCUCUUUAUAAUUUUUCCUUUGGGUUAUUCUUCUCUACCUUCUCUUGCUACCAUAUGAGGAAUGCAUACUAAGGAAAAAGAAGAGAAAGAGAAAGAGGGGGGAGCCAGAAGAUGGAGGGUGUUAAUGAGAUUGAACAUGAAUCUUGUUGGAGCCAAGUGGGCAUCCGGGGACCUGGCUGGCUCUACUUUUGAUCUCUGCUGGUCUAAUUGGUCCCAUUGAUCUCUGAUGUUGAUGCCCAGUAUGUAAGUUGUAGAUGUAUCUGUCAGGGCUACACAUUCUGUCUCCCACUCUCACAGGCUCCUUUGGGUGCCAUAGCUGCUCAUUCCCAGUGCCCCUUUUAAAAACUGUAGUAUUAUUCAGGUACAGAAACACUUGUCUGUAAUUCCAGAUACUAGGGAGGUGAAGGCAAGAGGACCAACAAUUGGAGCCAGUAUAGGCAAGAUAGCAAGGCCUGUCUCAUCUCUAAAUAAUAGACAAAAAGCUAUUAAUUAUAUUAUGAAAAAAACUUGCCCCGUGGUAUGGCUCCCUCAGAUUAUCCCUCAUCCCUAGACAUUGCAUAGCUUUGUUGCAUGUGUCAUUUCUCUGGGUCAUGUCCCUUCAAACUGUUCUUUGAGACGAAAAGCAAAUCUUCUAUAUUCCCCAUAUCCAGUCUUAACACUGUGUGAAGUUUCCACAAUGUUAAACAGGUAGGUUAAGCGGCCCUGCUAAGAAACAUCUGACGCCAGGGGUCUACUCACCGGAUCCGAACACGGUAAUGGGAUCCAGUCCACCUGGACACUGCCCAAGGCCCAGUGGCAGUUCCCCCUCCAUCCACUGGCCCAAUCCCGCCUCCAUCCACUGGCCCAGUUAUGCCAGGGGUGUUUCUGGUUCUGGUUAAGCAGCACUGCUAGGAAACAUCUGAUGCCACGGGCUUGCUCACUGGAUCACACCCAGACACUGCCAAGGCCCUGGUAACAGUGCCACCUCCAUCCACGACAAGAGGACAGACAUCAGAGUAUUGGAACUGUUUGCAUCUACCAGAAGGGAACCUUGGUCCCAUACCCAUCAGGAGAGAAAGAGACUCCUGCUACACCCACCAGAAGAAAGGAUGAGAAGAAGACAAUGUAAAAGCACAUUCAACAACAGAAAACCCAAUAUGACACCACCUGAGACUAGGAACCAUACACCAGUAAGACCUCAACAUCACGAUGCAGAUGAACCAGAAGAGAAUGACCUUAAAAACAUCUUCAUGAAAAUGAUAGAGGACCUCAAAUAGGACA
RNAcentral lists this long non-coding RNA (6724 nucleotides) under Cricetulus griseus (Chinese hamster). RNAcentral's name for it is "lncRNA (ENSCGRG00015041902.1)". Lineage: Eukaryota; Metazoa; Chordata; Mammalia; Rodentia; Cricetidae. The record is from RNAcentral.